GGAGAGAUGGCUGAGCGGCUGAUAGCAACACCCUGCUAAGGUGUUAGACUUUAACGAGUCUCCAGGGUUCGAAUCCCUGUCUCUCCG
RNAcentral lists this transfer RNA (87 nucleotides) under bacterium. RNAcentral describes it as "tRNA-Ser". It matches the Rfam family "tRNA". From Rfam's summary of the family: Transfer RNA (tRNA) molecules are approximately 80 nucleotides in length. The record is from RNAcentral.